This 310-nucleotide long non-coding RNA is filed under the name Capsella rubella. RNAcentral's name for it is "long non-coding RNA (CRUB_LNC004443)". The record is from RNAcentral. Lineage: Eukaryota; Viridiplantae; Streptophyta; Magnoliopsida; Brassicales; Brassicaceae.
UGAUGCGCUUGCAAAAUUGAUUUCUUAAUUUCACCUGGCUUUCUACGGCAAGCUUGACGGCAUAUUAUAUCUCAGGAAAUGUGAAUGUUUCCUCAAGUAUCAUCUCAUGUUACAACACUCAGGCUUGUUCUGUCUUAAGAGCUUAUCCCAUAAGCAUAUCAUCUGUCUCGGCGACUGGUAAUGAGCUGUGUAGUAGUUCUCAACACAGCCAAACUGACAGAAUCUCAGACUGUGUCUGUAAUCCACUGGGUUUGUUGUAUUCUUGAAAUGCUCAACCCACAUUCCAACACUCACGUCCUCCAUCUUGAAC